UACGUAGGGUGCAAGCGUUGUCCGGAAUUAUUGGGCGUAAAGAGCUCGUAGGCGGUUUGUCGCGUCUGCUGUGAAAACUCGGGGCUUAACUCCGGGCCUGCAGUGGGUACGGGCAGACUAGAGUGCGGUAGGGGAGACUGGAAUUCCUGGUGUAGCGGUGAAAUGCGCAGAUAUCAGGAGGAACACCGGUGGCGAAGGCGGAUCUCUGGGCCGUAACUGACGCUGAGGAGCGAAAGCGUGGGGAGCGAACAGG
RNAcentral lists this ribosomal RNA (253 nucleotides) under uncultured bacterium. Its description in RNAcentral is "partial 16S ribosomal RNA". It matches the Rfam family "Bacterial small subunit ribosomal RNA", at positions 524 to 776 of the family's 1533-position model. The record is from RNAcentral.